AACGAACGCUGGCGGCAUGCCUAACACAUGCAAGUCGAACGAGACCUUCGGGUCUAGUGGCGCACGGGUGCGUAACGCGUGGGAACCUGCCCUUAGGUUCGGAAUAACUCCCCGAAAGGGGUGCUAAUACCGGAUAAUGUCUUCGGCCCCAAGAUUUAUCGCCUUUGGAUGGGCCCGCGUUGGAUUAGCUAGUUGGUAGGGUAAAAGCCUACCAAGGCGACGAUCCCUAGCUGGUCUGAGAGGAUGAUCAGCCACACUGGGACUGAGACACGGCCCAGACUCCUACGGGAAGCAGCAGUGGGGAAUAUUGGACAAUGGGCGAAAGCCUGAGCCAGCAAUGCCGCGUGAGUGAUGAAGGCCUUAGGGUUGUAAAGCUCUUUUACCCGGGAUGAUAAUGACAGUACCGGGAGAAUAAGCUCCGGCUAACUCCGUG
This 433-nucleotide ribosomal RNA is filed under the name uncultured bacterium. RNAcentral describes it as "partial 16S ribosomal RNA". It matches the Rfam family "Bacterial small subunit ribosomal RNA", at positions 29 to 507 of the family's 1533-position model. The record is from RNAcentral.